RNAcentral lists this ribosomal RNA (253 nucleotides) under uncultured bacterium. RNAcentral describes it as "partial 16S ribosomal RNA". It matches the Rfam family "Bacterial small subunit ribosomal RNA", at positions 524 to 776 of the family's 1533-position model. The record is from RNAcentral.
UACGGAGGGUGCAAGCGUCAAUCGGAAUUAUUGGGCGUAAAGGGCGCGUAGGCGGAUUUUUAAGUUAGAUGUGAAAUUUCGGAGCUCAAAUUCGAAGCUGCAUUUAAAACUGAGAGUCUAGAGGGUCAACGGAGAAAACGGAAUUCCACGUGUAGCGGUGAAAUGCGUAGAUAUGUGGAAGAACACCUGUGGCGAAAGCGGUUUUCUAGUUGACAACUGACGCUGAGGCGCGAGAGCAAGGGGAGCAAACAGG